UGGGGAAUAUUGGACAAUGGGCGCAAGCCUGAUCCAGCCAUGCCGCGUGAGUGAUGAAGGCCUUAGGGUUGUAAAGCUCUUUCGCCGGUGAAGAUAAUGACGGUAACCGGAGAAGAAGCCCCGGCUAACUUCGUGCCAGCAGCCGCGGUAAUACGAAGGGGGCUAGCGUUGCUCGGAAUCACUGGGCGUAAAGCGCACGUAGGCGGAUCGUUAAGUCAGGGGUGAAAUCCUGGAGCUCAACUCCAGAACUGCCCUUGAUACUGGCGAUCUCGAGUUCGAGAGAGGUUGGUGGAACUCCGAGUGUAGAGGUGAAAUUCGUAGAUAUUCGGAAGAACACCAGUGGCGAAGGCGGCCAACUGGCUCGAUACUGACGCUGAGGUGCGAAAGCGUGGGGAGCAAAACAGGAUUAGAUACCCUGGUAGUCCACGCCGUAAACGAUGGAUGCUAGCCGUUGGGGGGUUUACCUCUCAGUGGCGCAGCUAACGCCUUAAGCAUCCCGCCUGGGGAGUACGGUCGCAAGAUUAAAACUUAAAUGAAUUGACGGGGUCAUAGCUGUUUCCU
RNAcentral lists this ribosomal RNA (561 nucleotides) under uncultured bacterium. RNAcentral's name for it is "partial 16S ribosomal RNA". It matches the Rfam family "Bacterial small subunit ribosomal RNA", at positions 355 to 1375 of the family's 1533-position model. The record is from RNAcentral.